This 366-nucleotide ribosomal RNA is filed under the name Triticum aestivum (bread wheat). RNAcentral's name for it is "partial small subunit ribosomal RNA". Lineage: Eukaryota; Viridiplantae; Streptophyta; Magnoliopsida; Poales; Poaceae. The record is from RNAcentral.
AUGACUCCUACCGAGGCUGACACUGAUGUAGAGGAGGGAGAAGAGCCGAAGAAGAAGGAAAGGAAAGCAGCCGGAGCUGCUUUCACGUGGAUUCAAGCAAACUUUGUGCAUUGCCCUGUGGAUGCGACUGAUGAUGUGAUACAGACACAUGCUCGUGUCUAUAUGUGGUACGUUGUCUCGAGGACUUUGUUACCUGACUCGACAGGCAAGAACGCUCCAUGGGUGUGGCUGAAGGCGUUGACCGUCUUCGAUAGCAGAUGGAGCUGGGGUUCAGCGACUCUUGCUUACUUGUACCAACAGGUACUUGUUUCAUUUUGCUAUCAAGUCAUUUCUUCAUUAGCAAAUGCAACCUUGCUGUCAUGUUAA